GAGCAGUGGACAGACUCCUAAUACCCUUAUUACAGUCCAGCACAUGCUGCGUGAGAGCACUUGGUGGCACAGUUCCUGCUGGAAUUAAUGAUCUUCCCAGUAUGUCUAGAGAUGGCUCGAUGGUGGAUAGUUCUGUGUCGUAGCCCAAGCUCCGCGGGGACAGGGAGUUUCGAUGAAAGAAGAGGCUACCUGCAGAAAAAGGGACAGGAGAAAACGCCAUGACUAUUACAGCGUCUCUAUCCUCCAGGAAGUGAACCAUCGCUCGUCGUUCCGGCUCCCGUGGACCGUUGAGUACCGCCUAAGGGCGUAAAUCUUACGCACCUUCACAGGAAUUCAGACAGAAAGUGGCAGUGAUAUUGGUACUGAAAAAAAUUAGAAGCAAAAAAUCCCUACAGAUGUGUCUUUUAACAGCUUGGAUUCAGUCGUGCCAAAUAGCCCCUCCCAGCGCGUCAGGUCCAUGCGCCUCGGCCGCACAAAGUGUUUUUUUGCCCAGGGAGAGUGAAACCCCGUCCUGUGCAAGUAUGAGAAAGCAUGUGUACGUCUUGCGAAAAUUCCGCCAGAUAGCGUGCAUAUGCAAAUCCGUUCACAACUCACUCACCAUCGAAUGAUUUUUCCAGUCUGUGCAGUGUGUGCGUAGCCCAGGACUUACUCCUACAGUGCGCUACAAACAGGCUGAUCGAGUCCGGAGCUGACGUUACACACCUGCCCUGAAAACGCUUGGGAACGCCUGCGUUUUUCCUGACACUCCCAGAAAACGACCAAUUACCACCCCUAAAUGUCCUCUUCCUGUCAAUCACCUUGCAAUUAAAAUUUUUGGACCAUCCUGUCGCUGUUUGGCAGCACGCCGCACAUUGCGGUGCAUACGCAUGUGCGGUCAUUCGAUAAUCGGCCGCUGUGCGAAUUCACACAACAGCGAUCAGGUCUGAAUCGGGCCCACAGAUCACUGCGCUGUGCGACAUUUGUACAUCGGCGUGCUGAAUCUGAAUCUGUAUAAAAAGGUCUCGAAUGCAGCUUUUCUUCAUGACGAGUUCUGUUGUACUUCAUCUGUGACUUUGUAGGAGUGUAAAACCAAUUCCUGUCACAGUCCAGUGUCUCUGGUACACCGAUGGCUUUUUGCUGCAUCUGCGAUGACACCAAGACACACAUGUUAUAGAAAAAUACAGUACACUACUCCUCUCAGAGGGUCCAAGUUGCCCCGGAUGUCUUGCGCCAUAUGGCGUAAAGACGCUUAAUGAAUGAGGACAAGCCUGCAUCUUCUGCUGACUCGCGCGUCUUAAAACAUGUUUAAGGAGGCUCUAUACUUUAUUUAACAAUAUGUUGCUUGUAGUUUCUCUGUAGAUGCCCCUGUUUUACUAUAACUCGGAAGAUGGGCGCGUUUCAGGACUCUUUAAUGUCAUGUUAUUUGUGUGAUGCUGCCUAAGUAAAAUAAAAUAAAGUAACAACUGCCUUCAAAUAAAAUAAAAAAAGAUGUAAAGGAC
Long non-coding RNA from Pseudophryne corroboree (corroboree frog), 1478 nucleotides. RefSeq lists it as uncharacterized. The transcript has 4 exons. The record is from RefSeq and is a predicted model, not a curated record. Lineage: Eukaryota; Metazoa; Chordata; Amphibia; Anura; Myobatrachidae.